RNAcentral lists this long non-coding RNA (337 nucleotides) under Mytilus galloprovincialis (Mediterranean mussel). The record is from RNAcentral. Lineage: Eukaryota; Metazoa; Mollusca; Bivalvia; Mytilida; Mytilidae.
CGGGGAAACACAUCAACUAUAAGAGGAAACAACAGAAACACUAAGGUGCAAAACAAAACAAAAAGUGACAAUGCAGCAUACAUAGACACGAACUAUUAGAUACACUCUCAUUUUUUGGUGGGGCACGUGUUGAUUAGACUUUAUUGUUUCUAUGUUGAAUAUGUGUACUAUUGUUUGUCUGUUUGUCCUAUUUUUUGUUAGCCCUGUUGUUUAUUUUCGACCAUAUUUCUGACUACGUUCAGGACAUUUAAAAAAAAUGGUGGGCUGAACAUUGUGUUGCGGCUAGUCAAACCUCUUGCUUAAUGGCAAUUAUAUACCGCUAAAAUGACAACAUUAC